Molecule: ribosomal RNA, 467 nt
Filed under: uncultured bacterium
Lineage: Bacteria
Description: bacterial SSU rRNA
Rfam family: Bacterial small subunit ribosomal RNA
Source: RNAcentral
CCAGACUCCUACGGGAGGCAGCAGUGAGGAAUAUUGGUCAAUGGGCGGGAGCCUGAACCAGCCAAGUCGCGUGAGGGAUGACGGCCCUAUGGGUUGUAAACCUCUUUUGCCGGGGAGCAAGGGCGGGGACGUGUCCCGGCCCGGAGAGUACCCGGAGAAAAAGCAUCGGCUAACUCCGUGCCAGCAGCCGCGGUAAUACGGAGGAUGCGAGCGUUAUCCGGAUUUAUUGGGUUUAAAGGGUGCGUAGGCGGGCUUUUAAGUCAGCGGUAAAAAUUCGGGGCUCAACCCCGUCCGGCCGUUGAAACUGGGGGCCUUGAGUGGGCGAGAAGAAGGCGGAAUGCGUGGUGUAGCGGUGAAAUGCAUAGAUAUCGCGCAGAACCCCGAUUGCGAAGGCAGCGUACCGGCUCCACACUGACGCUGAGGCACGAAAGCGUGGGUAUCGAACAGGAUUAGAUACCCCAGUACAU